This 463-nucleotide ribosomal RNA is filed under the name uncultured bacterium. RNAcentral's name for it is "bacterial SSU rRNA". It matches the Rfam family "Bacterial small subunit ribosomal RNA", at positions 791 to 1253 of the family's 1533-position model. The record is from RNAcentral.
UAGUCCACGCCGUAAACGAUGAGAACUAGAUGUUGGGGGAAUCUGUCCCUCGGUGUCGCAGCUAACGCGUUAAGUUCUCCGCCUGGGGAGUACGCCGGCAACGGUAAAACUCAAAGGAAUUGACGGGGACCCGCACAAGCGGUGGAGCAUGUGGUUUAAUUCGAUGCAACGCGAAGAACCUUACCUGCCCUUGACAUUGACAGAAUCCUGUAGAGAUACGGGAGUGCUUCGGCCUGGAAAACAGGUGCUGCAUGGCUGUCGUCAGCUCGUGUCGUGAGAUGUUGGGUUAAGUCCCGCAACGAGCGCAACCCUUGUCCUUAGUUGCCAGCACAUAAUGGUGGGAACUCUAGGGAGACUGCCGGUGACAAACCGGGAGGAAGGUGGGGACGACGUCAAGUCAUCAUGGCCCUUAUGGGGCAGGGACUACACACGUGCUACAAUGGUGCCUACAGUGAGUUAAUCU